AUUUUGUUUAAUGAUAUCUUUCUUAUUAUUAUACGCUGUAUAAGUUUUUAUAAUAAUAAAAAAUAUCAAAUUUAUUAAAAUAAUACAUUAAAAAUAUUAUAAUUUAUUCAUUGUUUAUCUUAUCAAAGAGUUAGUAUAAUAUUUACCCUUAUCUUUUAGAUAAAGUAUAUUAUUAUUUAUUUACCCCCCUUUCCUUAGGAAAGGGGGUACAGAGUAAAUAUAUUCUAUCUUAUAAAAUAAAUAUACAUUAUUCCUAUAUACAUUAUUUAAUAAUAUAUAUAUUAUUUAUUUCUUUAAGUGAUAAUAUUUAAGGAUAUCAUUCUUAUUAUUUAUCCUACCCCCCCCCCCUUUACGGUGUAAAGUAUCCUUCUCUUAAAUAAAAGGAUAUAAAGAGUAAAGGGGGAAAUAUAAUAAAGGAGAGAUAUUGAAAAAAGGUAUAUGAAAUAAAUAUUAUUUUAAGGAAAUUAAUACUAAUAUUUAAAGUUGACAAAGAGGUUUAGAAAUAAACCAAUCAAAUCAUGAAAAUGAGAAAGAGAAAUCAAGUGGAAUGAAACAUCUGAGUAGCUUGAAAGUAACCAACAGGGGCAAUAUAAGUAACGGUGAGUGAAAGUAUUGUAGUUUAAAAGUAUCAUCAAGAGGUGAGAAUAAAGUAGUUUCUACUACUAAAACAUUAAAUAAAUAUUAAGUAAAAGUACCGUGAGGGAAAAAUAAGAAAUAGAAUAAUAAAGAGCAGUCAUAGUAUGGCGUACCUCUUGUAUAAUGGGCCAGUGAGUUAUAUAUAUAAGCGAAAUAAUUUAUAAAUAAAUUGAGACUAAUCAAUCUAUAAAGUUUAUAUGUAUAGGCCCGAAAGCAGACGAUCUACAUAUGUCCAAGUAUCUUUUUUAUAUAAUAUAAUAUAAUAUAUAAAAAAAUGACUCAAUAGGUAGAUGUUGCAAUAUCUUCUAAAGAGAUGUGUGUAGAAGUGACAGACAAAUCUGGUUUGCCGAUAGCUGGUUUUCUGCGAAAUAUAUUUUAGUAUAGCCUUUAUAAAAAUAAUAACUGGUACAGCACUUAAUUUAUUUUGGGGAAUUAAUUAAUUUUAUCAAAAGAAUUUAAUCUCGGAAACAGUAAACUAUAUUAUAAGGAGUCAGACUUAUUGCGAUAAGGUAGUAGGUCGAGAAGGAAACAACCUAGACUAUUAAAUGUAUGUCCCAUAAGAUAUCUUAAGUGAAUAUAAUCUUUAUGUUUUAUAAGACAAUCAGUCAGCGGGUUUGACAAUAAUCAUCUGUUAAUGGACAUGUAACAAUGCACUGAUUUGAUAUUAUAUUUAGAAAAAAUAUACGGGUCUAAAGAUAUUACAGAAUUAUAGAUAAUAUAUAUAAUAUAUAUAAUUAUAGUAGCAGAAUAUAUGAUAAUAUAUUUAUAUAGAAUAAAUAAGAAUCAUAAAGAGAAUGCUGGCUUGAGUAACGAUAGGUAAUAUAAGAUUACCCUCCAAUUCAUAAGGUUUUAUAAUAAACGAACGGUCCCUAAGAUAUUAAUAGAAAUAUUAAAUUGAUGGGAAAUAAUACAAGAAAAGAUAAAUGAACCGUACUGUAAACCGACACAGGUAUGAUAAAUAUAUAUAAAAAUAUAUAUAGGAGAAUGAGAUAACUAUUGUGAAUGAACUCGGCAAAAAAGUAAAACAACUUUAAGUCGUGCGACUGUUUACCAAAAACAUAGCUUACUGCAUAUUAGAAAUAAUUAGUAUAGUAAGUGAUAUCUGCCCAGUGUAAGUCUAUAUAAAUAAAAUAUAUAUUAUGUAUAUUAACAAAAGGCUUAUAAACGGCGGUCUUAUUAUGAGGAUCCGAAGGUAGCGAAAUUCAUUGGCGCAUAAUUGGUGUCCCGCAUGAAUGAUUACACGAUGCGACAACUGUAUCCACAAUAGACUCAGUGAAAUAGCACUCGCGGUGAAGAUGCCGUGUACCCGUAGAUUGACAAAAAGACCCUAUGCAGCUUUACUAUAUCUUUGUAUUGAUUUCUUUAUUUAUUUAUUUCAGUAGAUUAGGUUUUUUUAUUAUAAAAUAAAUGAGAUACCUAUAUUUAUAAAUAAAGUUUCUUAUCUAUUUUCUUUUGUCUUUUAGACAAAUGAUAUUGAGACAGUAUAAAGAAGUUAGUUUCGAUGGGGCGUCGACAUCAGCGAAAGCAUCUGAUGUGUCUAAAAUAUAAUUAUUAUUUCUAUAACUUUUAUUAAAAGUUUUAUUAGUAAAUUACGUACAAUAAAUCUAUAUGGCAAAUAGAAAUUAAAUAUAUUAAAUAUUUAUCCUUAGGGAUAUAUUAAAUAUAUAUAUAUGUAAGGAUAACAACAUAAUUGUGCGAUGAUAAUAACACUAACAAGUGGAAUUAGUACUUACGUAGAGUGUAAUGAACAGGCAUAUUCUUUAGAUAAGGAUGUCGAUAACGGAUUAAAGUUACGCUAGGGAUAACAGGGUAAUACCGCUAGAGAGUUGAUAUCGUCAGCGGUGUUUGCCACCUCGAUUAAUUAACGAUAGUUGAGGUUAAAUUGGGUUAAUUGCAAGGAAGUCUAAGGAUUUAGGUCUAUGAUAAUUUGCAGCGAAGUAUAUUUUAUACUUAAUAUAUUUUUAUAUUAAAGGAAUAUAAACGUUCAACGACUAGAGAGUGAGUAGUAUAACAAUAACCUCUCCACGAAAGCCCAAAAGUGUUAUACUUUUUAGUUAAAUUUAUAUGGUUUUUUUAUGUUUAAAUGUAAAAUAUUAUCAAAUGAAUUAAAUACUAAAUUUAAAUUUAAUUCAAAGUUAAUAUAGCUCGAAAGAGCAAUAAUAAAAUCUAUUAUAAAAUAGUGUUAUCUUCAAAAGAUACAAUUAAUUUAGGAAACAUAAUUAAACCAUAUAUAAUUACACAUUUUAACUAUA
Molecule: ribosomal RNA, 2888 nt
Filed under: Scheffersomyces shehatae
Lineage: Eukaryota; Fungi; Ascomycota; Pichiomycetes; Serinales; Debaryomycetaceae
Description: bacterial LSU rRNA
Rfam family: Bacterial large subunit ribosomal RNA (bases 502-2531)
Source: RNAcentral